This 226-nucleotide ribosomal RNA is filed under the name uncultured bacterium. Its description in RNAcentral is "partial 16S ribosomal RNA". It matches the Rfam family "Bacterial small subunit ribosomal RNA", at positions 538 to 763 of the family's 1533-position model. The record is from RNAcentral.
GCGUUAAUCGGAAUUACUGGGCGUAAAGCGCGCGUAGACGGUUUUGUAAGUCAGAUGUGAAAUCCCUGGGCUCAACCUGGGAACUGCAUUUGAGACUGCAUGGCUAGAGUAUGGAAGAGGGAAGUGGAAUUUCCGGUGUAGCGGUGAAAUGCGUAGAUAUCGGAAGGAACACCAGUGGCGAAAGCGACUUCCUGGUCCAAUACUGACGUUCAUGUGCGAAAGCGUG